This 20-nucleotide non-coding RNA is filed under the name Arabidopsis thaliana (thale cress). Lineage: Eukaryota; Viridiplantae; Streptophyta; Magnoliopsida; Brassicales; Brassicaceae. The record is from RNAcentral.
UGCUGCUAGUGCAUGGAUUG